This is a long non-coding RNA of Helianthus annuus (common sunflower), 758 nucleotides long. RefSeq lists it as uncharacterized. The record is from RefSeq and is a predicted model, not a curated record. Lineage: Eukaryota; Viridiplantae; Streptophyta; Magnoliopsida; Asterales; Asteraceae. The transcript has 3 exons.
UUAAGAGCUAGCAAACGAACUCAAACCGGAUCGACGUCCGGCUCUGAAUUCUAGAAAAUCGACAACCAACCUCAGUGUCUAAGACCGAGAGGGGGGCGAAGAAGCGUUAGAGACAAAGGUUGGUUCUCAGUUUUCCUGAAUGUACUAGUGAGAGACCUCCAAGUUGAGUUUGUUUGCAAGCUCUUGAACGUUUUGUAGCAAUAUUUGUUUGGCAUAACCUAUAUAGAAAUCUCUUCCUAUGUUGCUUUGUGGCAAAUGUUUAUACCAGGUACUAGUAGUGUAUAUUAUACAUAUAAAUAAACAACACAAACUGACUUGUAGUUGGUGAAUCAUAACCAAUGGGGUGGUGGUCCAUUGGCAAAGACAAGACCUUUUAAACACCUUGAGAGGAGGAGGUCUUGGGUCAAGUCCCACAGACAACAAUUUCAAAAAAAAAAGUUGAUGAAUCAUGGAGUUGACAAAGCGUUGUGAAGAACAUGAAAGAAAUUCCAGAAGACCAUCAAAGGUUUUGAUAUGUUGGCUGUGGGCGGCGAUGAUGAAAAAAACGCCGAUUUUGAUGACGAUGGCACGGCAAGGACGGCGGAAGGACGUUAGGUACCAUGGACAAGGAACUUGCAUAUCUUGAUGGCUGGAGUGGUCAUGGGUCGUGCUACUUGGAUAUACAAGACUGUUUACUGAUUUUCACAUACAUUGGUUUUGAAACAUUGAACAGUGCUUUACUAUUUGUUUCCGCUGAAUGUAUUUGAAUUGGAUUAUGU